Molecule: ribosomal RNA, 2283 nt
Filed under: human metagenome
Description: bacterial LSU rRNA
Rfam family: Bacterial large subunit ribosomal RNA
Source: RNAcentral
AGGGUGUAGGGCGGAUGCCUUGGCACUAGGAGCCGAUGAAAGACGUGAUAAGCUGCGAUAAGCUUCGGGGAGUGGCACAUACACUUUGAUCCGGAGAUUUCUGAAUGAGGAAACUCACUUGGAGUAAUGUCCAAGUAUCCAUAGGUGAAUACAUAGCCUAUGGAGGGGAACUCAGGGAACUGAAACAUCUAAGUACCUGAAGGAAGAGAAAGAAAUUCGAUUCCGCUAGUAGCGGCGAGCGAACGCGGAAGAGCCCAAACCAAGUCAGUUUACUGAUUUGGGGUUGCGGACAUAUCUUAAGGAAAGGUUAUUGCGAGUAGAAUAGGUCUGGAAAGAUCAACCAUAGAGGGUAAAAGUCCCGUAUACAAAGCCAAGAAAGUUCUUGAUAUGAUCCAGAGUACCACGAGACACGUGAAACCUUGUGGGAAGCAGGGGGGACCACCCCCCAAGGCUAAAUACUACCUAGUGACCGAUAGCGAAUAGUACCGUGAGGGAAAGGUGAAAAGAACCCCGGGAGGGGAGUGAAAUAGAACCUGAAACCCUACACUUACAAGCUGUGGGAGCGCAUUAUUCGCGUGACCGCGUACUUUUUGUAGAACGGGCCAACGAGUUACGUUAUGUGGCAAGGUUAAGCACUUAAGGUGUGGAGCCGAAGCGAAAGCGAGUCUUAACUGGGCGCCAUAGUCACAUGACGUAGACCCGAAACCGGGCGACCUACCCAUGAGCAGGAUGAAGCGAAAGUAAAAUUUCGUGGAGGUCCGAACCCACGUACGUUGAAAAGUGCGGGGAUGACUUGUGGGUAGCGGUGAAAUUCCAAUCGAGCUCGGAGAUAGCUGGUUCUCCCCGAAAUAGCUUUAGGGCUAGCCUUGAAAUUUAGAGAUGUGGAGGUAGAGCACUGAAUGUCCUAGGGGGUAUUGCACUUACCGAAGACUAUCAAACUCCGAAUGCCAUUAUCUUUUGUUCAGGAGUCAGACUAUGGGUGAUAAGGUUCAUAGUCGAAAGGGAAAGAGCCCAGACCGUCAGCUAAGGUCCCUAAAUGUAUGUUAAGUGGUAAAGGAUGUGGGAUUGCACAGACAACCAGGAUGUUGGCUUAGAAGCAGCCACUCAUUUAAAGAGUGCGUAAUAGCUCACUGGUCGAGUGAUCCUGCGCCGAAGAUUUCCGGGGCUAAAACAUACUACCGAAGCUACGGCAUCAUAUGAUGAUGGGUAGGGGAGCUUCCCAUGCAGGCUGAAGCGAUACCGUAAGGAGUCGUGGACAGUAUGGGAGAGAGAAUGUUGGCAUGAGUAGCGAGAUGAGGGUGAGAAUCCCUCAGGCCGUAAACCCAAGGUUUCCAGGGGAAGGUUCGUCCUCCCUGGGUUAGUCGGGACCUAAGCUCAGGCCGAAAGGCGUAGGCGAUGGACAACAGGUUGAGAUUCCUGUACUACCGAUAAUCGUUUGAGAGAAGGGAUGACACAGUAGGAUAAGCUGAGCACACUGUUGGUUAAGUGUGUCUAAGCGUUGAGGCAGACUAGAUAGGCAAAUCCGUUUAGUUAAUGCUGGGGCGCGAUGGGGAGCGAAACUAAGUAGCGAAGCAGCUGAUUUCACACUGUCGAGAAAAGUCUCUAUCGAGAUUAAAGGUACCCGUACCGCAAACCGACACAGGUGGGUGAGGAGAGUAUCCUAAGGCCAGCGAGAGAACUGUUGUUAAGGAACUCGGCAAAAUGACCCCGUAACUUAGGGAUAAGGGGUGCCCCAGCAAUGGGGCCGCAGAGAAUUGGCCCAAGCGACUGUUUACCAAAAACAUAGGUUUCUGCUAAGUCGCAAGACGAUGUAUAGGAGCUGACGCCUGCCCGGUGCUGGAAGGUUAAGGGGAUCUGUUAGAGCAAUCGAAGCAGUGAUCUUAAGCCCCAGUAAACGGCGGCCGUAACUAUAACGGUCCUAAGGUAGCGAAAUUCCUUGUCGGGUAAGUUCCGACCCGCACGAAAGGCGUAACGAUUUGGGCACUGUCUCAACAACAGACUCGGUGAAAUUGUAAUCCCGGUGAAGAUGCCGGGUACCUGCGACAGGACGGAAAGACCCCAUGGAGCUUUACUGUAGCUUGACAUUGGGUUUCGAUACUACAUGUACAGGAUAGGUGGGAGACUAUGAAAUCAGGGCGUCAGUUUUGAUGGAGUCAUCCUUGGGAUACCACCCUUGUAGUAUUGGGACUCUAACCAUAGGCCAUGAAUCUGGUCUUGGGACACUGUCUGGUGGGCAGUUUGACUGGGGCGGUCGCCUCCCAAAAGGUAACGGAGGCGCUCAAA